AGCGAACGCUGGCGGCAGGCUUAACACAUGCAAGUCGAGCGGGCCCUUCGGGGUCAGCGGCGGACGGGUGCGUAACGCGUGGGAACGUGCCUUCUGGUUUGGAAUAACCCCGGGAAACUAGGGCUAAUACCGGAUACGCCCUUUUGGGCAAAGGUUUACUGCCGGUAGAUCGGCCCGCGUCUGAUUAGCUAGUUGGUGGGGUAACGGCCCACCAAGGCGACGAUCAGUAGCUGGUCUGAGAGGAUGAUCAGCCACACUGGGACUGAGACACGGCCCAGACUCCUACGGGAGGUAGCAGUGGGGAAUAUUGGACAAUGGGCGCAAGCCUGAUCCAGCCAUGCCGCGUGAGUGAUGAAGGCCUUAGGGUUGUAAAGCUCUUUUAUCCGGGACGAUAAUGACGGUACCGGGGGAAUAAGCCCCGGCUAACUUCGUG
Molecule: ribosomal RNA, 433 nt
Filed under: uncultured bacterium
Lineage: Bacteria
Description: partial 16S ribosomal RNA
Rfam family: Bacterial small subunit ribosomal RNA
Source: RNAcentral